UUACGGUCAAAUCACGCUGAAAACACCGGUUCUCGUUCGAUCACCGAAGUUAAGCAUCGUAGAGCCAGGUCAGUACUUUUGAUGGGGGGACCGCUUGGGAACACCUGGUAC
RNAcentral lists this ribosomal RNA (111 nucleotides) under Acanthosepion pharaonis. The record is from RNAcentral. Lineage: Eukaryota; Metazoa; Mollusca; Cephalopoda; Sepiida; Sepiidae.